Molecule: long non-coding RNA, 713 nt
Filed under: Numida meleagris (helmeted guineafowl)
Lineage: Eukaryota; Metazoa; Chordata; Aves; Galliformes; Numididae
Description: lncRNA (ENSNMEG00000021401.1)
Source: RNAcentral
GUGGGAGGGAAGGGAGUUACUCCUCUGAAGUGUAGGAAGAACAUAGAAAAGGGAAAUGCUCUGGGAGAUAAAAGAACAGGACCUAGAGCAGCGCAUGGAGAAAACACAGGGAAAAGAGGAAGCAGGUGGCAUCACUGGUGACAGUGUCCUGCUGUGCUGUGUCUUCCUGUGGUUGGUCUACCAUUUUCCUGGCAUGUGUGCGCAUGCACUGUCUGAAAGCUGGGGACAUUGGCUGAGGAUUCAGCACUCAGGUCCUCUAUCUUGGGAAUGUUUGAGCUCCAUGACUGUUCUUUGUGAUUUGUAAAUUGUUUUCAUUAGAAAUAUAUUCAUUUCUAUGUGCUUUUGUUAAAAAUUUUAGACUUUUAUUAGGAACUCAUGAUGAGGUCAUGUUGUGUCAGGUUGCACCACAUCUCACUUCAAUCUGAUUUAGUAUGUCCUAAAGCAACACCUUGUACUACAGAUAGGUCAUAACUACAUUACUUCCAUGUGAUCAGAUGUGACUACCAAAACUCUUGGGAUGAUACAUCCUCCCACUUUACCAGUUAAAAAAAUUUUCCAUGUAACAGAGGAAUGAAACAAAGUCCUAUUUUGGAUAUCUUUUGAUGCACAUUCACAAUCAGCAUUAAUGGAUCCCAACAGGAAAAGGCUGAAAUGACUUCUACAAUGAAAACACAGCUACUGAUAGUGUCAUUUUCCCUGAUAGUAAAAUCCAG